AAGAAUAUAAUGGUCGAACAGACCAAAAAGAUGAAAAUCUACCCCCACCCCUUAUCUUAAUUCAACAUCGAGGUCGCAAACCUUUCUAUCGAUAUGAACUCUCCAAAAAGAUUACGCUGUUAUCCCUAAGGUAGGUUAAUCUUCUAAUCAAAAAUUCUGGAUCAAAAAAACAUAAAUUAAUGAAAAUUUAUAAUAAAAGUUAAUAAAAUUUUAUUGUCACCCCAACAAAACUAAUUUUUCUAAAAAAUAAAUUAAUCAACAAAAAAACAUAAUUUAUAAAAUUAGUAAACCUCUAUAGGGUCUUCUCGUCCUAUAAAAAAAUUUCAGCUUUUUAACUAAAAAAUUAAAUUCAAAUUAAUUAUAUAAAGAAAGAUUAUUUCUCAUCAAACCAUUCAUUCUAGCCUCCAAUUAAAAGACAAAUGAUUAUGCUACCUUCGUACAGUUAAAAUACCGCAGCCUUUUAAUAUUUUAAAUCAAUGGGCAGGCCCAAUCUUGUUUUAAAAACCAA
This 508-nucleotide ribosomal RNA is filed under the name Asclepios shiranui. Its description in RNAcentral is "partial 16S ribosomal RNA". Lineage: Eukaryota; Metazoa; Arthropoda; Insecta; Hemiptera; Gerridae. The record is from RNAcentral.